CACCGGUUGGCAAACCGGCGCUGCAUUGUUUGCCCUGUUCCCACAAGCCACCCUACAGGACCUACAAGGUAACAAUGGAAAGGCUAGUUAUGGUGAAGCAUUCUGGGUUUGUGAUAACAGUGCCUAUAAAUGGCUCCCUCAUGGUUGGCAUGGUAGCUGUUACAAAGGCUAUCUCGCUCCUCCCCUCCGUGUUCUCACCCAGGAUCCCUCAGGUCACCCUAGGUACUAUCGGUCCUUGAGAGCUCCAUUGAACCCAUCGGUGAAGGAGACAGGUUUGGGAUGAUAUUCCUCCCUUCCUAUGGGGUGGGACGACUAACCCAACUCUACAGAAGACUGUCUAAAUUUCUCACUCAGAUCUCACUCAGGGA
Molecule: long non-coding RNA, 368 nt
Organism: Trachemys scripta elegans
Lineage: Eukaryota; Metazoa; Chordata; Testudines; Emydidae
Exons: 3
Source: RefSeq, a predicted model, not a curated record